AGGCAGCGAGGGCAGAGCGCUGCGGGAUGGGGCUGGGAGGUUUGGCUUAGGCUCGGAGGAGGGCAUCGUCCGGGCCUUAUGCAGCUCUGUUCAGACGUCAGGCAGUGGUGCUCCCCUGCAAGGGAAUAAGUGUGACACAUGCGUUCGAACUCACCUCCCAUCCACGACAUUAGUGGUUAUAAAUAUCCCCUGAGUGCAGCUGGCUACAGGCAGCACUCAGCACACUACUAGGAUACUUCUCCUCAAGUGAAUGAGGACGAUCUCGCAGGGAAGCCAAGCAAUGUACUGGCUAAAAAUGAAGUCCCCGAUAUGCACCCAGGUUUGAGUACUGGAGUUGUUGAUCUGUGAAGUUUGCCUCUGCCUGCUCAGAAAUGAGGUCUCAGUGAGCAGUGCAGCAGCACUAACACCAGCUCACCUCUGAGCUGCUGGGGACAGUGAUGGCUUUAGAAGAGAGAUGGAUCCAGACCCUCCACGUGCUUGCGAGCAGCAGUCACAACUGCAGUAAAUCAGUUGAUUACAUCCCUGCUAUCCAGACUUGAUGGCAACUUUUCUGGCCAGUGAUCAGGCAUCUUUCAGUUUUUUUCUUCUUCAAACCGAACAUCUCCUAAAGGAACACCAGGUGUUCCUCCUACCCAGCCUGAUGUGGUUGCAGCUGCAUGGUGUUGCAGUUAGCCUAAUCACUGCAUACCCACUCACCUCUGUUCCUCUCAACCUGGAGCAAAAGGCUGUUCUCCAGCUUUCUGCUGAAGUCUGCCAGCUGUCCAAAAUGGAUUCAGGAAAAACUGACAAACCAGCCUGGCAGUGCACCCGGAUGAGUAGUGAACAGAUAGGAACUCUACCUGUGCCAAUGUAACCAUGCCAUGGUGGUCACUGUACUACAGAAGGACUUUCUACAACUGAGCACACCCAGCAUUUCAGCAGUGCAGUAUAACUGCUCAAGGACGCUGAUGGGUUUGCAGAUGCCACUAACUGGGCCCAUGGCUCUGCUCUCUAAGGCUGUGCUCCUUCCUGGGGCACGGAGUGAUGGGAAGUUUAAUGCUUUGGUGUGACAGCUAUGUUGGUCGUUUUUUUGUGUUCCUUCUCUGUGAAAAAUACUGUAGAAGCAAUGUUGGUUUAUGUCAAUUGUUUUGUUGAUGGAUCUGCCUGGUAGCUGAGAGGAACUUGAAAGACUCCGACGGUGCUGCUGUUUAUGAGGCAGCCCCGUGGAGCGUGGCUGAUUCCUCUUCAGCUCCUAGACCUUGGCUCUGAUCUGCUGAUCUAUGGACUUUAUUUACGGGCAGGACUGGCGAAUCCUUUCACCAGGCAGGAAUCACGGCAUGUUUCCUAGGCAACAAGCACGGUGUGUGCCCUGACGGGACCUCAGCCUGUAGCUAUGCUGUGGCCAUGCCAGGCCAUGAACUAUAUGCCAGGCUUGGGCCUGCGGCAGGCCCAGUGCCAGCAGUCCAGGUGGGGACAGGAGGAGAGGAUGCCUGAGUGCAGUGAGAGCGAGCAGCUCCGUUGUUCUGCCUCAUCUCCCGUUUUCCAUUACAGGUGUUGCUCACAUCUGGUCUUUAUCACAGUUGUUGUGUUGCUGGAUAGUUCCUUUGUGUUACUCCAUUCACUUUUCCUAUUUAUUGUCCAGCAAAAGGCAGCGGCUGCCAUCAUGCAUUCACCUGACAGGUAUUAGCUGAGAAACAUCACAUGAACCCCGCUGGAUCUAGAGUUUGGUCCUAUGAAAAGCUACAGGAACAAAAAUUUUCCUGCAAACUGUCACCCUACAGCAGUCCAUGGUCACAGCAGAUCAUGUCACUGUACACUGUGAGGUUAAAUAUUUGCUCAGAUCUUACAGUAACUGCAAGCUUUUUAUGGAGUCUUCUUCACAUUUAACUAGGAAAGUUCCCUCACCAGCCACAGAGUGGUCUGCAGCUUGCUGUGCUUCCUCACCCCACGCUGAUGUGCCAGCCCUGGCUGAGACUGAACAUUCUUACUGAACUUUGCAGCUCCUGCAGCUCUGCUCUUUUGAUGAGGUACUCCCCUCAAGCAGCCGCUCUGUGCUAUAAGUAUAUGGUGUACGUGUACCUUUUUGCUUUUGCCCUGCUUCCCCCUAACCAUAGAAGAUGUGAAAAUUAACAGUUAUCAUUUCCAGUUAAUCUUCUGGCACCACCGAAUUCUGACUCAUGCCCUUGAAAACUGAAACUGAUUCACACACCAGCCAUUCAAGUUAAACAUUUCCCUCUCCGAUUUCCAAAAAUAUGGAUAAAUCUUGUGGAGCCAAACUAACUAAAAAGUAAUGUUGUCUUUAAAAAGAAUUCGUGAAGAUUUUAAAUCCCCCAGCAGCUUGAUAAUUUCCAAAUCUUCUGGAUUUCAAGUUAUAUUUAGGUAUAGAUUUUUCCUUCAAAUUUAAAGCUCAUGCUUUAAUUCAAUUUAAUUUCAAGAUCAAAGCAUGCUAAAAACCUUGUGUGAAGAAAUUCAUAGGAGGAUGUUAGCUAAGAAUCCUGUAAAUGGUGUAUUUUCAUUGGAGAGAGAGUAAUGCAGGACUCCAGCCUCUGAGUCUGACCUGGUGCAUGGCAUCAGCCUGCAAAUCAGGCAUGGUACUGAGCACUGCUGAACAGGCAGUGGGGUCUGAUUGAGUUACUGGUCACUGAUAAAAGCAUUUUGGUUGGGAAGGACUGAAUCAGACAUUGGGAUUUUUAGCCAUCUGU
Non-coding RNA from Meleagris gallopavo (turkey), 2681 nucleotides. The record is from RefSeq and is a predicted model, not a curated record. Lineage: Eukaryota; Metazoa; Chordata; Aves; Galliformes; Phasianidae.